RNAcentral lists this long non-coding RNA (528 nucleotides) under Brassica napus (rape). RNAcentral describes it as "long non-coding RNA (BNAP_LNC012108)". The record is from RNAcentral. Lineage: Eukaryota; Viridiplantae; Streptophyta; Magnoliopsida; Brassicales; Brassicaceae.
GAGAGGAAUUUGAAAAGAUAGAACUCUUACGCGGGUGGAUGUCCAUUGCUUUGGUUUAGCGAGAUCGAGAAGAAAUUUGUUGGAGAAGUCAAAGGAAGACGGUGUGGUGUGGUAGCUGCAACAGAAAAGUGUAAGGAAGCAAAUAGCAUGGAAAUGAGGGUAUAAGAUGAGGAAACGUACACGUUCGUCUUAGUUGAGAUUGUGUUGUAGAAUAGAUCCCACUCGAGACCUGGAAGUGGCGAGAUGAGUGUAAGCGCAUGGAUUAUUGGAGAUUUGGAUAAUUCAUUAGCAAGGUGGUUCUCGUCCAAAGAUGGAACGUGGCUCUCCACAUCUUUUGUCGCCGUUAGGUCGACAACUCCAGGGGUGUUUUGUUCCUGAAAAUGUGAACAUAUUUGCUUCAAGUAUUUCAGAGGGAGUAGUCAAGCAAUAAAUGGCGAGUAGGCUGCAUAUUACCUUAAAGAGCAAGGGAGGGUGGAGAGUUGGAGGAAGCUGUAGCUGUGAAAGCAUUGACGGUAGUAGCAUGAACGG